GAGGGCGUAGCUCAGUGGUAGAGUGCCUGCUUAGCAUGCAAGAGGUCCUAGGUUCAAUCCCCAGUCCCUCCA
Molecule: transfer RNA, 72 nt
Filed under: Camelus bactrianus (Bactrian camel)
Lineage: Eukaryota; Metazoa; Chordata; Mammalia; Artiodactyla; Camelidae
Also listed under: 2 other names
Rfam family: tRNA
About the family: Transfer RNA (tRNA) molecules are approximately 80 nucleotides in length. Their secondary structure includes four short double-helical elements and three loops (D, anti-codon, and T loops). Further hydrogen bonds mediate the characteristic L-shaped molecular structure. tRNAs have two regions of fundamental functional importance: the anti-codon, which is responsible for specific mRNA codon recognition, and the 3' end, to which the tRNAs corresponding amino acid is attached (by aminoacyl-tRNA synthetases). tRNAs cope with the degeneracy of the genetic code in two manners: having more than one tRNA (with a specific anti-codon) for a particular amino acid; and 'wobble' base-pairing, i.e. permitting non-standard base-pairing at the 3rd anti-codon position.
Source: Rfam by way of RNAcentral